This is a long non-coding RNA of Carassius gibelio (silver crucian carp), 344 nucleotides long. RefSeq lists it as uncharacterized. The transcript has 3 exons. NCBI's taxonomy places the organism in Eukaryota, Metazoa, Chordata, Actinopteri, Cypriniformes, Cyprinidae. The record is from RefSeq and is a predicted model, not a curated record.
GGUGGGUAUUCACAGGGCUGGGCUGUUAGCGUGCAGGGGUUCUAGCUCUCAGGUAAGUACAGUGUUCGAUACACAGGUGAGUAUUCACAGGGCUGGGCUGUUAAUGUGCAGAGGUUCUAGCUCUCAGGUAAAUACAGUGUUCGAUACACAGGUGGGUAUUCACAGGGCUGGGCUGUUAGCGUGCAGGGGUUCUAGCUCUCAGGUAAGUACAGUGUUCGAUACACAGGUAAGUAUUCACAGGGCUGAGCUGUUAGCGUGCAGGGGUUCUAGCUCUCAAUGUAAGUACAGUGUUCCAUACACAGGUGGGUAUUCACAGGGCUGAGCUGUUAGCGUGCAGGGGUUCU